This 253-nucleotide ribosomal RNA is filed under the name uncultured bacterium. RNAcentral's name for it is "partial 16S ribosomal RNA". It matches the Rfam family "Bacterial small subunit ribosomal RNA", at positions 524 to 776 of the family's 1533-position model. The record is from RNAcentral.
UACGAGGGGGGCGAGCGUUGUUCGGAAUUAUUGGGCGUAAAGGGUGCGUAGGCGGUUUGGUAAGUCUGAUGUGAAAUCUAUGGGCUCAACUCAUAGUCUGCAUCGGAAACUGCCGGGCUUGAGUGUGGGAGAGGUGAGUGGAAUUCCUGGUGUAGCGGUGAAAUGCGUAGAUAUCAGGAGGAACACCUAUUGCGAAGGCAGCUCGCUGGGACGUUACUGACGCUGAGACGCGAAAGCGUGGGGAGCAAACAGG